Non-coding RNA from Cicer arietinum (chickpea), 752 nucleotides. The record is from RefSeq and is a predicted model, not a curated record. Lineage: Eukaryota; Viridiplantae; Streptophyta; Magnoliopsida; Fabales; Fabaceae.
UCAUCCUAUGUUCUUCGUCCUUGUUUCUGCAAACCCACAAAUUAGUCACCCGCGAAUCCAAACCCAUUUUUCAUCUUUCAACCUUCGUUCUUCAUCAAACUCAGCCACAAAUUAAACAUGCGCAUCUUACCCAUGAAAACUUUUUCAUCCUUCCACAUUUAACCUUCAUCCUUCAGUGAAAACGUGAAUCGUGAAUCGCAGCUUUCAGCCUUCAUCGCUGGCGACGAGUUGGUUCGGCGCAACAUUUUUCUACUUCAGCACCGCAACCAGUUUUCUUUGUCUUCCUCUUCCAUCUAUCAAUGAGCAUUUCCGCCAAGAAGUGUCAAUUUCUUUCACUAUCGAGAAGUGUUUGUUGUUUUCUCCGCAUGAGAACACUCUAAUGUCGUUGUCGGUGAUGCAAGCGGUUGGAUCGGUUAUGACAAAUAAAUACAGUGAAGGUUAUCCAGGUGCUAGAUACUAUCGUGGAAAUGAGUACAUUGAUAUGGCUGAGACUUUGUGUCAGAAGCGUGCAUUGGAAGCUUUUCGGUUGGAUCCGGCAAAAUGGGGAGGUACAUAAGAUGGAAAAUAUUUAUUUAUGGUGCAGUUUGAGUUUAUUUGAGUCUAACUAAGAAUGCUCAUUUAUGUAUGAGCAAGAAUUUGGGAACUUAUACUUUUUAUUUGAUAAAUUCAAGCAAUAAGUCAAUCUAAGGACUGCAAACGUAAUUUUGCUAUUUGUUUUUUAGUUCGCAGUUUUGGCUUCCUCCAUACUAAUU